Molecule: long non-coding RNA, 13631 nt
Filed under: Citrus sinensis (sweet orange)
Lineage: Eukaryota; Viridiplantae; Streptophyta; Magnoliopsida; Sapindales; Rutaceae
Description: long non-coding RNA (CSIN_LNC003849)
Source: RNAcentral
AAAUCAUUCUCAAUUUCAUAAAUUACUAAUUAUUCUCCAAUUCAGAAAUUACCAAAAUAUGCACAAAUUCAAAAAUUAUAAAAUCGCCUUCAAAUUUAACAAAAUUACCAAAAUACCCUCAAAUUCUAACAUUAUUAGAAUACCCCCAAAAUCAUAAUUUACCAAGUUAACCUCAAAAUAGUAAAUUACCAGCCUAUUCUCAAUUUAUACAAUUACUAAAAUACCCGCAAAGUGUGAAAUUACAAAAUUGCCCUCGAAUACGAAAUUACCGAAAUGGCCUUGCUGGUCAACGGUGACCCAAAGUCAACCAAAGGCGGUCGGGAAGCUCUAGCCUGAGAGUUCCAACCACGCUGAGUCCGAUGGUAUAUUAUGCCAUUUCAAAUUUUAUUUUUUCAAUCUUAUAUUUAAUAGAAUGUUAAUACCAAAUAAGCAAUAAUCUUAACUGAUUAAACUAAAUAAAUGGAUAGAUUUUAAACUCACCAAACUACUCAUUAAACCUAUUUACUAAAUUAACCCACUCUCAAAUUUUAAAAUUUUAAAUUUUACUUGAUAAACCCACUUAAUUACUCAAUAUACCCUUACUAAACUCAAUCUUUAUAAUAAUAGUGUUUUUCUCAUUAAACCCGUUAAAUUCAAUUAUAAAUCCUUAAUAAAUGUUUCAUUGAUUUUUUUUUUAAAGAAAGUUUUUGCCUUUCGCAUUUAUCAGAAGAUGAUGAUAAUAAGUUAUAGAACCCAAACUCCAAGCUACCAGAUAGAAUAGUUCUCAAUUAAGGGUCUAUUUGAGAUAGUGAUUAGACAGUUAUAGCUGAAAAACUAUGGCAUUAAAGUAUUUGGUAAACACUGGCUGCUGUAGUUUAGAAGCUAAUAUGAUAUGAUUUUUCACAUAUAUUAUGUAAAAUCUAUUAUAUCUUUAAUAAUUUUGUUAAAAUUAUUAUUUAAAAUUUAUAUUUAUUACAUAUUAUUAACUUUAAAAGUUACAACACCUCAAUUUCAAACAUGACCUAAGUUAAUUAGAAUGGCAAAAGAAUAUUUCCAACCUAAGGCCGAGACUUGUUUAUGAUUGAGCAAAAUACUCGCAAUCGUAUUCCAUGGCAAUAAACAUUCUAAGGCUUGUAUGAUACAUCAUAAUCUUAAAUUCAUUAAUUUCUAAAUAAGACCAAACCUCAAAAGCGAUGCCCAUUGUAUACAUCGAAUGCUGAUGUUAACACGUUGCCACCCAAAAAUGGUGACUCAACUUCAAUUUCAUUCAAAGUUGAGACAUUCUCAGUUUCGGACAAGGUGGCACCGAAAGAACUCAAAUUCUCAUUACAUUACAGAAAUUUUGACAGAAUAUGAUCAGGGUUUAAUGAAAAUAUAAUUAGAGUUUGAUAAAAUACGUUAAAUGUAAAGGUGGGUUUAAAAAGUAAAAAUUCUGUUUUUUUUAACUAUAUUUUAAUUUUCAUAAUUGUAAUUUAAUUUAAAAAUAUUUUAAUCAUAAAAAUUAAUCUCAAAAAUAGAUUUAUUGAGCCGUUUGUUGAGUUCAAAUAGCCCCACCUUCAUCGAAAUGCCCUCAAACUCAUAAAUCACAUAAAUAAUCUAAAAAUUCCAAAAUUAUAAACUACCAAAUCAUUCUCAAUUUCAUAAAUUACUAAUUAUUCUCCAAUUCAGAAAUUACCAAAAUAUGCACAAAUUCAAAAAUUAUAAAAUCGCCUUCAAAUUUAACAAAAUUACCAAAAUACCCUCAAAUUCUAACAUUAUUAGAAUACCCCCAAAAUCAUAAUUUACCAAGUUAAUCUCAAAAUCGUAAAUUACCAGCCUAUUCUCAAUUUAUACAAUUACUAAAAUACCCGCAAAGUAUGAAAUUAUAAAAUUGCCCUCGGAUACGAAAUUACCGAAAUGGCCUUGCUGGUCAACGGUGACCGAAAGCCAACCAAAUGCGGUCGGGAAGCUCUAGCCUGAGAAUUCCAACCACGCUGAGUCCGAUGGUGGCGGCGGUGACGAUCGACGCGCGGCGACGGUGGCUGAUCGAGCUCCCAAAGCCAUGAACUUUCCAACGGCUGACCGGCCGGGACAGGGCAGUUCCCGGUUCAGUGGAUGGUCGAAAAGGACAGAGGGGAUUGUGGGGAACAAAAUCCAACUGGUGGCCUCACCCAAAACUGGCAAAAUAGCGGUGAAACAAUGCGGCUUCAAUAAGCGGCUUUCCGGCCAAUAAUCGACGGCAAUGACGGAAUGGAAAUGACGGUCAGUUCUCAAGCUUUCUACUGGCACCUUCCUUGGUCGGUAAGGUGGCCGGAAAAUGGAGAUAAAUUCGGGUCGGAUCGCGCAGGUUCGGGUCGGAUCGCUCCCAUCUCUUUCCCUCUUUCUUUCUCUCUCUUCAUUUCUCUCUCUCUUAAUUCAUAGGGGUGUGGGGUAAUACAUAUGAAAAAAAAAUUAUGGUUUGGUUUAUUUUUAAAAAAAAAAGUAUGUCAACAAUUAUGACAUGGUCAUUGGGUGCAAUACGAAAUACAUUAUUUUAACUAAAGUACAAUGGUAGAGGAUACAAUUAAUAUUGUAUUAAAAUAUAAAAUUAAUUCUCUAAAUUUAAAUUUAAAAGUAUCUGGGCUGAUUUUGAUAAAAAAUAAUUUUAAUUUUUUAUUAAAUAUUAAAAUUAAUUUUUAAAUUUUUAAAAUUAUUUGUAAACCUGAUAAAAUAAUUUAAAAUGAACCUUAGAACUCAAAUUAAAAUUUGAAUAUUAAGAUUCUUAUUAUUACUCAAUGAUAUAAUAACAAUUAACAAUAUUUUCGUAAUUUCAUGAUUUAUUUCCUUUACAAUCGCAUUAAGUUCAGAAAGUUUCCUUCGAGGAAUAUAACCGAAUUGAAGAGGAAGGAAGACGCGUGAAAGCCAUUUAACCAAAAAUUCAUGAUUAGCCCAAUUUUUCAAAAGCUCCCUCAACAAAUGAUACUCAUCGUGCUUCUCUCUCAAGUAUGGCAAUGCCUUUCAUGGCAUAUAAUCUUGAAGUACUUGCUUUUACUUGUCAUACAGUUGUUUAGGAUCUUCAUCAAGAGGACGAGCCGACUGAGAACAAAUAUUGUAUACGGUUGUGUAAAAGAUAAAAGAUCAUUUAGUCUCUAUAUUUUAAGAUUAAUAUUUAUUUAAUCCUUAUAUUUUUUAAAAUCUUUGCCGUUAAAGUAUUGAUAUUCACACUGUUACUUUUUAUUUCUUUUGUCUUACUUUAACAAUAUUGUCCUUUUAUAAUAAUUUUUUUGCUUGGACAUUAAUAAAAAGAAAAUAAUUAAAUUACUAAUUUAGCCCUAAAAAUAAAAAUAAAAAAUUUAUAUUAAUUUUUAAUUUUUAAAAAUUAAAUUGUCAAAAAUUGUAUGCAAACUACCAAGUAUGCAAAUGGAGCUUGCAAAAAAAUUAUAAUAAACUAAUGGCAAAUUAACGGAACAAUACUUUACACUAUUAUUUAAAAUAUAGGGAUGAAAUAUGUAUCAUAUUAAAUCCUAAGGGUGAAAAGGACAUUUUCUGUUCUGUUGCUUUGCUUGACGGAAUUCAAACAAUUAGGAUUACGAAGCACAAAUUCAUCAACUUAAGGGAUUUUCUUUAUCAACGAAACGAGGUAAGUGCAGGAGGACAAAAGUUGUUUGCUUGAUAGGCCUUGAUUGUUGGCCCAAAAGUUUUAGCUGGUAAAUAACUUCCAAGCCCAUAUUCUUGUGAUCUGGGAAGUGAAUUCUCUAUUCUUAGACAAGAACUUUAUAUGCAGAAAGAAAAAUAAGAAAAAUGGUUGGUUGGUGGGGUGAGAGAUUUUGUUAUACACAUUGGCUUACCAAAUUGGAUUCAUGAAAUACAUUCAAAAUUUAUUGAAAAGUAAAAUUAACGAAUGGUGAAGAGAAAUCUCAAAAUAAUUGGGGAUAGCGAGAGAAAGGAUUGAAGAAGUCGCUAAAAAAAAAAAAUUAGAAAGGAAAAGAAGAACAAAUAAUGAUAAUUUUUCAUGUUCUUUCGUAUGAACCGCAAUGCAACGAAUAAUUGUCAAGAAGACAAUUUCUACCCAUUACUAUUUUGUUCAUAAUUAGUUCUUAGGUCUAUCUUUAUCUAUAGGGUUGUCUAAAAUUUUUAAUUAAUGUAUAAAACAUAUUCAUCGGUACGCGUACUCAUCACGAUAUCUAUGGCAGCAAUGCCAAUUAAUUAGUGCUUCAGGAAAAAAAAAUCCAAUGGAAUAGAAAUUAUAAAAUUAAUAGACUUGAAAUUGACUAGGAACUUUAGGGUUUCGUAGUGUGCAUCACAACCUAAGAACCUACUCCAAUGUUUCUCCAAUGCCUAAUUCAUUCCUCGAUUUCUCGCUGUCACAGCAGAUAAUCGAAUGAUCAUCCACCUUAUCUCCUCUAGGCAAUUGUCUGCAUCCAAAUUCUCCAUCUUCAAGAAGCUGACUUGCACGCACCACCAACAACUCAUGUUCUAGUAUGUCCGUCAAUUUCCGCUCGCUGCUUGGUUGCAGGUAAUGAGACGCUCUCCCUCUUUCUUUCUUCAAGCAUUCACCAACCUUGAGCAUGUAAUCUUCACUCGAAUCCUGAAGAAUCCAAUUUGAUGCCUUGCGAGAAUAAUAAGCCCCCGUAUCCUGAAGCAUAUGUUCUUCAAAAUCCUUUUCGUAACAAUGCAUCUUCCCCUUGUCAAUCUCAACGAAUAAAUUCAAUACAUUCUUCACCAACGUUCUGUCAAUCUCUUCUCCCUCGCGUUCUCUAUCGAUUAAAGCAAUUACAGCAUCCUUGACUUUGUCCUUUAUAGCUUCAAACACCAGAUCCCGGAAGCAAGAAAGUCCAAACGCAUUAAGUUUAGGAAGUUUCUUUCGAGUAAUAUAAGCGCCUUCACCUUGAAGAGGAAGGAAGACGAGUGAAAGCCAUUUAACCAAAAAUUUAUGAUUAGCCCAGCUUUUCAAAAGCUCCCUCAACAAAUCAUACUCAUCGUGCUUCUCUCUCAAAGAUGGCAAUACCUUUGAUGGCAUAUAAUCUUCAAGUACUUGCUUGUAAUUGUUAUACAAUUGUUUGCUAUUUUUGUCAAGAGGAUAAGUCCGCUGGGAGUUAAUAUUGUAUACGGUUGUGUAAAGCAUCAUGUAAUCCUCCAAAUUAAACGCUGGCUCCGGCAAUCCUUCGAAAAUCCUCUUCAAUUUUGUGAUUCCCCGCUCCAAAUAGUCCCAUCCUUCUUCGGAGUCACAUGCCUUGCGCUUCAUUGCUAAUCAAGUUUUUCGAUCGACGAUUCAAGAAAAAACUGAAAACCAAGAACUCGAUUCCUUCCAAUUUAUUAACUCUAUUGCGAAGUUGGGAUUUGAGAGCUUAAUGUAAGCGUCUUUAUAUAAGGAUGUAUAUCCUAACUAGUUAAGGAAAAGGAAAGCCUAAUUAGUCAAGGAAAAGACUUAUUAAGUUUCACUAAAUUUAUAUAUCUUCUCAAAUUAGGAAAAAGAUUUGUAAAUUUUCAACUUCAAUUUUUUUUUUCUUAACUUUGUAAGAGAUUUUGAAACAUGGUAUUUAAGAAAUUCUAAGGUGAGUAUUUAAUUUUUUUAUAAUUUUAUAUUAAUAAGACGUUUUUAAAUUUUUGUUAAUAAAUUUAAUCUUACCUAUCACCAUAAUCUCUCUUAUAUAUAUAUAGUACAUAAAAACUUAUUCUCACUUGAUGUAUGAGUUUCUACCCCUGUCCUCCUAUCUAUAUUUUAUUUAGAUGUCAAAAACAUAACGUUUUUAAAACUAACUGAAAUUACUAACUGAAGAAAAAAGUUAACUUCAUGUUAGUCACUUUUCAAUCUCUCAUGAAAAACUUCACUUCUUCUUCAUGCACAUGUCAAUUAAAUGUUAGUAAUAAAUUAUAGCAGAGAAAAUUAUCGACAUGACAAUAUUUCAAGGAAAGAAAAAAUCUAGUCACUUAAAUUAUUAUUCUUAUUCUUCUUUUUUUUUUUUUUUACUUGUAUUCAUUCUCCCUUUGCCAUUUCUUUUUUUGAUCUCGAUUGGCUAUCAAAGAAACCCAUCUAACCAUUUUGUUUUCAAGACUUUGUGUCGUUAGUCUAGUUUUCCAAUUAUCAAAAUUUAGCUAUAAAAUGAGAGGAGAAAAAGAAUUUAAUUUUGAUUUGAUUCGAAUUUUUGCUUAAGACAGCAAGCCUGGGCUAGACCCCGGAAACUUUUGGAUAUACCCCUUGCAUUUUUAUAAUUUUAUUAAAUAAUAAAAUUUAUUUUAUUUUCAAAUAUGUCCUCAAUUCAACUUUUUUUUUCUUUUUUUAAUACUUCAAAGUAGGAUUAGAUACUUAUUUUAUAAGAUGAUUCAAUUGUAUAUUUAUUGGAUAAAUUGAAAUCAUUAGGAUGCUAAAAUAUUAGUACGGAUAAAUAUUUAAUAUACACUUACUAAACUCAAUUUUUAUAAUAAUAAUAUUUUUACUCGCUAAAUCCAUUAAAUUCAUUUAUAAAUCUUCAAUGAAAUCAGUUAUUUUUUUUAACACCGAUGGAGAUGGUAAUUAAAUCAAAAUGAAUUUGUUAGCGUAGGUGCUACUUGAGCUUGUGAUGAUAAUCAGAUAAUUGAGAAUCAGCCAUGCCUAUUGUUAGCGGAGAGGCUGAGCUACCAUUGGUGAAUGGUGAUGCGGCUUAGCUUAAUUCGGCUCCACUAAAUGGCCAAAUUGAAAAGAAAAGAAAUUUAACCCGUUGUUUAAAAUCAAAUUUGCUUUUGAUUAAUGAUAAUUAAAGUUUUCAGAAAAUUUAAGGAUUAAUAUUAUAAUCAGAGCACAUGACUCAAUGAUCGAUGAUGAGCUCCAUUUGAAUGCGCAUCAAACCGUAGGAAGAUAAUUGAAAGUAAAAGAUUGCCCUCGUAAUUCAUGCCUCUAGUUAAUUAGGAUUUAAUGAAAAUAAGAUUAUGAUUUAACAAAAUUAUGUUGAUGUAUAGAUGGGCUGAAAAAAUUAAAAUUCUGUUUUUUUAUAUUAUAUUUUAAUAUCCAUAAUUGUAAUUUAAUUUAAAAAUAUUUUAAUUAUAAAAAAUUAAUCUCAAAAAUAAAUUUAGUGAGCCGUUUGUUGAGUUCAAAUAACACAACCUUCAUCGAAAUGCCCACAAACUCAUAAAUCACAUAAAUAAUCUAAAAAUUCCAAAAUUAUAAACUACCAAAUCAUUCUCAAUUUCAUAAAUUACGAAUUAUUCUCCAAUUCAGAAACUACCAAAAUAUGCACAAAUCCAAAAAUUAUAAAAUCGCCUCAAAUUUAACAAAAUUACCAAAAUACCCUCAAAUUCUAACAUUAUUAGAAUACCCCCAAAAUCAUAAUUUACCAAGUUAAUCUCAAAAUCGUAAAUUACCAGCCUAUUCUCAAUUUAUACAAUUACUAAAAUACCCGCAAAGUAUGAAAUUAUAAAAUUGCCCUCGGAUACGAAAUUACCGAAAUGGCCUUGCUGGUCAAAGGUGACCGAAAGCCAACCAAAUGCGGUCGGGAAGCUCUAGCCUGAGAAUUCCAACCACGCUGAGUCCGAUGGUGGCGGCGGUGACGAUCGACGCGCGGCGACGGUGGCUGAUCGAGCUCCCAAAGCCAUGAACUUUCCAACGGCUGACCGGCCGGGACAGGGCAGUUCCCGGCUCAGUGGAUGGUCGGAAAGGACAGAGGGGAUUGUGGGGAACAAAAUCCAACUGGUCGCCUCACCCAAAACUGGCGGAACAGCGGCGAAACAAUGCGGCUUCACCGCAAAAUUUUGCGGCUUCAAUAAACGGCUUUCCGGCCAAUAAUCGACGGCGAUGACGUAAUGGAAAUGACGGCCAGUUCUCAAGCUUUCUAUUGGUACCUUCCUUGGUCGGUAAGGUGGCUGGAAAAUGGAGAUAAAUUCGGGUCCGAUCGCGAAGGUUCGGGUCGGAUCGCUCCCAUCUCUUUCCCUCUUUCUUUCUCUCUCUUCGUUUCUCUCUCUCUUAAUUCAUAGGGGCGUGGGGUAAUACACAGAAAAAAAAAAAAAAUGGUUUGGUCUAUUUAAAAAAAAAAGAGUAUGUCAACAAUAAUGACAUUGUCAUUGGGUGCAAUACGAAACACAUUAUUUUAACUAAAGUAUAAGAGUAAUGAUACAGCCAUAAAUUCUUGUAUAAAUUUAUUUUGUACAAACUGACGUGUCAUUAAUUCAUUGGUUGAAUGAAAAUAUAAAAUAAUAAAAACAAAUCAUGUGGGCCAAGUGAUUUUUAAUUCAACCAAUCUUAUCAUGCCACAUCAGUUUAUACAAAAUAAAUUUGUACAAGAAUUUGUGGUUGUAUCAUUACUCAAAGUAUAAUGGUAGAGGAUAAAAUUAAAAUUGUAUUAAAAUAUAAAAUUAAUUCUCUAAAUUUAAAUUUAAAAUCAUAUGGACUGAUUUUGAUAAAAAAUAAUUUUAAUUUUUUUAUGAAAUAUUAAAAUUAAUUUUUAAAUUUUAAAAUCACUUUUAAACCUCCUAAAGUAAUUUAAAAUGAACUUUAGAACGCAAAUUAAAACUUUAAUAUUAAGAUUCUUAUUAUUACUCAAUGAUAUAAUAACAAUUAACAAUAUUUUCAUAAUUUCAUCAUUUAUUUCCUUUAAAAUCGCAUUAAGUUUAGGAAGUUUCCUUCGAGGAAUAUAACCUACCUGAAGAGGAAGGAAGACGCGUGAAAGCCAUUUAACCAAAAUUUCAUUAUUAGCCCAGCUUUUCAAAAGCUCCCUCAACAAAUGAUACUCAUCGUGCUUCUCUCUCAAAGAUGGCAAUGCCUUUCAUGGCAUAUAAUCUUCAAGUACUUGCUUUUACUUGUCAUAUAGCUGUUUGGGAUCUUCAUCAAGAAGACGAUCCGGCUGGGAACAAAUAUUGUAUACGGUUGUGUAAAGGAUAAAAGAUCAUUUAGUCUCUAUAUUUUAAGAUUAAUAUUUAUUUAGUCCUUGUAUUUUUUUAAAUCUCUGCCGUUAAAGUAUUGAUAUUCAUAUUGUUACUUUUUAUUUCUUUUGUCUUACUUUAACAAUAUUGCCCUUUUAUAAUUAUUUUUUUACUUGGACAUUAAUAAAAAGAAAAUAAUUAAAUUACUAAUUUAGCCCUAAAUAUAAAAAAAUUAUAUUAAUUUUUAAUUUUAAAAAAUUAAAUUGUCAAAAAUUGUAUGCAAACUACCAAGUAUGCUAAUGGAGCUUGCAAAAAAAAUAUAAUAAACUAAUGGCAAAUUAAUGAAAGAAUACUUUACACUAUUAUUUAAAAUAUAGGGAUGAAAUAUGUAUUAUAUUAAAUCCUAAGGGUGAAAAGGACAUUUUGUGUUCUGUUGCAUUGCUUGACGGAAUUCAAACAAUUAGGAUUACGAAGCACAAAUUCAUCAACUUAAGGGAUUUUCUUUAUCAACGAAACGAGGUAAGUGCAGGAGGACAAAAGUUGUUUGCUUGAUAGGCCUUGAUUGUUGGCCCAAAAGUUUUAGCUGGAAAACAACUUCCAAGCCCAUAUACUUGUGAUCUGGAAGUGAAUUCUCUAUUCUUAGACAAGAACUUUAUAUGAAGAAAGAAAAAUAAGAAAAAUGGUUGGUUGGUGGGGUGAGAGAUUUUGUUAUACACAUUGGCUUACCAAAUUGGAUUCAUGAAAUACAUUCAAAAUUUAUUGAAAAGUAAAAUUAACGAAUGGUGAAGAGAAAUCUCAAAAUAAUUGGGGAUAGCGAGAGAAAGGAUUGAAGAAGUCGCUAAAAAAAAAAAAUUAGAAAGGAAAAGAAGAACAAAUAAUGAUAACUUAUUCAUAUUCUUUCGUAUGAACCACAAUGCAACGAAUAAUUAUUGAGAAGGCAAUUUAUACCCAUUACUAUUUUGUUCAUAAUUAGUUCUUAGGUCUAUCUUUAUCUAUAGGGUUGUCUAAAAUUUUUAAUUAAUGUAUAAAACAUAUUCAUCGGUACGCGUACUCAUCACGAUAUCUAUGGCAGCAAUGCCAAUUAAUUAGUGCUUCAAAAAAAAAAAAUCCAAUGGAAUAGAAAUUAUAAAAUUAAUAGACUUGAAAUUGACUAGGAACUUUAGGGUUUCUUGGUGUGCAUCACAAUCUAAGAACCUACUCCAAUGUUUCUCCAAUGCCUAAUUCAUUCCUCGAUUUCUCGCUGUCACAGCAGAUAAUCGAAUGAUCAUCCACCUUAUCUCCUCUAGGCAAUUGUCUGCAUCCAAAUUCUCCUUCUUCAAGAAGCUGACUUGCACGCACCACCAACAACUCAUGUUCUAGUAUGUCCGUCAAUUUCCGCUCGCUGCUUGGUUGCAGGUAAUGAGACGCUCUCCCUCUUUCUUUCUUCAAGCAUUCACCAACCUUGAGCAUGUAAUCUUCACUCGAAUCCUGAAGAAUCCAAUUUGAUGCCUUGCGAGAAUAAUAAGCCCCCGUAUCCUGAAGCAUAUGUUCUUCAAAAUCCUUUUCGUAACAAUGCAUCUUCCCCUCGUCAAUCUCAACGAAUAAAUUCAAUACAUUCUUCACCAACGUUCUGUCAAUCUCUUCUCCCUCGCGUUCUCUAUCGAUUAAAGCAAUUACAGCAUCCUUGACUUUGUCCUUUAUAACAUCAAACACCAGAUCCCGGAAGCAAGAAAGUCCAAACGCAUUAAGUUUAGGAAGUUUCUUUCGAGUAAUAUAAGCGAAUUCAACUUGAAGAGGAAGGAAGACGAGUGAAAGCCAUUUAACCAAAAAUUUAUGAUUAGCCCAGCUUUUCAAAAGCUCCUUCAACAAAUCAUACUCAUCGUGCUUCUCUCUCAAAGAUGGCAAUACCUUUGAUGGCAUAUAAUCUUCAAGUAUUUGCUUGUAAUUGUUAUACAACUGUUUGCUAUUUUUGUCAAGAGGAUAAGUCGACUCAGAAUAAAUAUUGUAUACGGUUGUGUAAAGCAUCAUGUAAUCCUCCAAAUUAAACGUUGGCUCCGGCAAUCCUUCGAAAAUCCUCUUCAAUUUUGUGAUUCCCCGAUCCAAAUAGUCCCAUCCUUCUUCGGAGUCAAUUGCCUUCUGCUUCAUAGCUAAUCAAGUUUUUUGAUCGACGAUUCAAGAAAAAACUGAAAACCAAGAACUCGAUACCUUCUAAUUUAUUAACUCUAUUGCGAAGUUGGGAUUUGGGAGCUCAAUGUAAGCAUCUUUAUAUAAGGAUGUAUAUCCUAACUAGUCAAGGAAAAUGAAAGCCUGACUAGUUAAGGAAAAGGAAGAAGGAAAAGACUUAUUAAGUUUCACUAAACUUAUAUAUCUUCUCAAAUUAGGAAAAUGAUUUGUAAAUUUUCAACUUCAAUUUUUUUUUCCUAAACUUUAUAAGAGAUUUUGAAACAUGGUAUUUAAGAAAUUCUAAGGUGAGUAUUUAAUUUUUUUUUAUAAUUUUAUAUUAAUAAGAUGUUUUUAAAUUUUUGUUAAUAAAUUUAAUCUUACCUAUCACCAUAAUCUCCUCUUAUAUAUAUAUAUAUAGUACAUAAAAACUUAUUCUCACUUGAUGUAAGAGUUUCUACCCCUGUCCUCCUAUCUAUAUUUUAUUUAGAUGUCAAAAACAUAACGUUUUUAAAACUAACUGAAAUUACUAACUGAAGAAAAAAGUUAACUUCAUGUUAGUCACUUUUCAAUCUCUCAUGAAAAAUUGCACUUCUUCUUCACGCAUAUGUCGAUUAAAUUUUAUUAAUAAAUUAUAGCAGAGAAAAUUAUCGACAUGACAAUAUUUCAAGGAAAGAAAAAAUCUAGUCACUUAAAUUAUUAUUCUUAUUCUUCUUUUUUUUUUUUUUUACUUGUAUUCAUUCUCCCUUUGCCAUUUCUUUUUUUGAUCUCGAUUGGCUAUCAAAGAAACCCAUCUAAAAAAUGAGAGGAGAAAAAGAAUUUAAUUUUGAUUUGAUUCGAAUUUUUGCUUAAGACAGCAAGCCUGGGCUAGACCCCGGAAACUUUUGGAUAUACCCCUUGCAUUUUUAUAAUUUUAUUAAAUAAUAAAAUUUAUUUUAUUUUAAAAUAUGUCCUCAAUUCAACUUUUUUUUUCUUUUUUUAAUACUUCAAAGUAGGAUUAGAUACUUAUUUUAUAAGAUGAUUCAAUUGUAUAUUUAUUGGAUAAAUUGAAAUCAUUAAGAUGCUAAAAUAUUAGUACGGAUAAAUACUUAAUAUACACUCACUAAACUCAAUUUUUAUAAUAAUAAUAUUUUAACUCGCUAAAUCCAUUAACUUCAUUUAUAAAUCUUCAUUGAAAUCAUUUAUUUUUUUUAACACCGAUGGAGAUGGUAAUUAAAUCAAAAUGAAUUUGUUAGCGUAGGUGCUACUUGAGCUUGUGAUGAUAAUCAGAUAAUUGAGAAUCAGCCAUGCCUAUUGUUAGCGGAGAGGCUGAGCUACCAUUGGUGAAUGGUGAUGCGGCUUAGCUUAAUUCGGCUCCACUAAAUGGCCAAAUUGAAAAGAAAAGAAAUUUAACCCGUUAAUUAAAAUACAAUUUGCUUUUGAUUAAUGAUAAUUAAAGUUUUCAGAAAAUUUAAGGAUUAAUAUUAUAAUCAGAGCACAUGACUCAAUGAUCGAUGAUGAGCUCCAUUUGAAUGCGCAUCAAACCGUAGGAAGAUAAUUGAAAGUAAAAGAUUGCCACUCGUAAUUCAUGCCUCUAGUUAAUUAGGAUUUAAUGAAAAUAAGAUUAUGAUUUAACAAAAUUAUGUUGAUGUAUAAAUGGGCUGAAAAAAUUAAAAUUCUGUUUUUUUAUUAUAUUUUAAUAUCCAUAAUUGUAAUUUAAUUUAAGAGUAUUUUAAUCAUAAAAGAUUAAUCUCAAAAAUAGAUUUAGUGAGCCGUUUGUUGAGUUCAAAUAACACAACCUUCAUCGAAAUGCCCUCAAACUCAUAAAUCACAUAAAUAAUCUAAAAAUUCCAAAAUUAUAAACUACCAAAUCAUUCUCAAUUUCAUAAAUUACUAAUUAUUCUCCAAUUCAGAAAUUACCAAAAUAUGCACAAAUUCAAAAAUUAUAAAAUCGCCUUCAAAUUUAACAAAAUUACCAAAAUACCCUCAAAUUCUAACAUUAUUAGAAUACCCCCAAAAUUAUAAUUUACCAAGUUAAUCUCAAAAUCGUAAAUUACCAGCCUAUUCUUGAUUUAUACAAUUACUAAAAUACCCGCAAAGUAUGAAACUAUAAAAUUGCCCUCGGAUACGAAAUUACCGAAAUGGCCUUACUGGUCAACGGUGACCGAAAGCCAACCAAAUGCGGUCGGGAAGCUCUAGCCUGAGAAUUCCAACCACGCUGAGUCCGAUGGUGGCGGCGGUGACGAUCGACGCGCGGCGACGGUGGCUGAUCGAGCUCCCAAAGCCAUGAACUUUCCAACGGCUGACCGGCCGGGACAGGGCAGUUCCCGGCUCAGUGGAUGGUCGGAAAGGACAGAGGGGAUUGUGGGGAACAAAAUCCAACUGGUCGCCUCACCCAAAACUAGCGGAACAGCGGCGAAACAAUGCGGCUUCACCGCCAAAUUUUGCGGCUUCAAUAAACGGCUUUCCGGCCAAUAAUCGACGGCAAUGACGGAAUGGAAAUGACGGCCAGUUCUCAAGCUUUCUAUUGGUACCUUCCUUGGUCGGUAAGGUGGCUGGAAAAUGGAGAUAAAUUCGGGUCCGAUCGCGAAGGUUCGGGUCGGAUCGCGAACAUCUCUUUCCCUCUUUAUUUCUCUCUCUCCGUUUCUCUCUCUCUUAAUUCAUAGGAGCGUGGGGUUAUACAUAUGAAAAAAAAAAAUUAUGGUUUGGUCUAUUUAUAAAAAAAAAAAGUAAGUCAACAAUUA